This 425-nucleotide ribosomal RNA is filed under the name uncultured bacterium. Its description in RNAcentral is "partial 16S ribosomal RNA". It matches the Rfam family "Bacterial small subunit ribosomal RNA", at positions 354 to 796 of the family's 1533-position model. The record is from RNAcentral.
GUGGGGAAUCUUAGACAAUGGGCGCAAGCCUGAUCUAGCCAUGCCGCGUGAGCGAUGAAGGCCUUAGGGUUGUAAAGCUCUUUCAGGGGGGAAGAUAAUGACGGUACCCCCAGAAGAAGCCCCGGCUAACUCCGUGCCAGCAGCCGCGGUAAUACGGAGGGGGCUAGCGUUGUUCGGAAUUACUGGGCGUAAAGCGCACGUAGGCGGACCAGAAAGUCAGGGGUGAAAUACCGGAGCUCAACCCCGGAACUGCCUUUGAAACUCCUGGUCUUGAGGUCGAGAGAGGUGAGUGGAAUUCCGAGUGUAGAGGUGAAAUUCGUAGAUAUUCGGAGGAACACCAGUGGCGAAGGCGGCUCACUGGCUCGAUACUGACGCUGAGGUGCGAAAGCGUGGGGAGCAAACAGGAUUAGAAACCCGUGUAGUCC